GUCGCCGUAGCUCAGAGGUCAGAGCGCUUGGCUCAUAAAACCAAGAGGUCGGGGGUUCAAUUCCCCCCGGCGACA
RNAcentral lists this transfer RNA (75 nucleotides) under Nanobdella aerobiophila. RNAcentral describes it as "tRNA-Met". It matches the Rfam family "tRNA". Rfam says of the family: Transfer RNA (tRNA) molecules are approximately 80 nucleotides in length. Their secondary structure includes four short double-helical elements and three loops (D, anti-codon, and T loops). Further hydrogen bonds mediate the characteristic L-shaped molecular structure. tRNAs have two regions of fundamental functional importance: the anti-codon, which is responsible for specific mRNA codon recognition, and the 3' end, to which the tRNAs corresponding amino acid is attached (by aminoacyl-tRNA synthetases). tRNAs cope with the degeneracy of the genetic code in two manners: having more than one tRNA (with a specific anti-codon) for a particular amino acid; and 'wobble' base-pairing, i.e. permitting non-standard base-pairing at the 3rd anti-codon position. The record is from RNAcentral. Lineage: Archaea; Nanobdellati; Nanobdellota; Nanobdellia; Nanobdellales; Nanobdellaceae.